Long non-coding RNA from Biomphalaria glabrata, 563 nucleotides. RefSeq lists it as uncharacterized. The transcript has 2 exons. Lineage: Eukaryota; Metazoa; Mollusca; Gastropoda; Planorbidae. The record is from RefSeq and is a predicted model, not a curated record.
UUGUGGUCUAAAUUAUUGUGUCUAACAUUAAUACAUCUGUACAUAAUGGGUGUUUCUCAUUUUUAGUUGGCAGCACUUAAUGAUGCCAAAAUUAUUUUUGAUAAACAAAUCUGGAUUUAUUUUUGGCCAGGAAGAGACAACAAGGAAUGUCGCGAAAAAUAAUUUUUGACGCUCACAUUCAUGAUUACCAAUUGAGAACUCUUCUACUUUUUCAAAAUAUAUUCUAGAGCAGACUAUUGAAUUAAUAUAAUUAUAGAUAGAUUAUAAUAAUAGGACUAGUCACUAGAUUAUGAUUAUCACUAGCACUAGAUUCUAGAUCUACUACUCAGAUCUAGACUCUAGAGUGACUCUAGACCUAGUCUACUCUAGUAGUAGUCUCUAGUAUCAUCAAGUACUAGUAGAUCGUCUAGAAAACAUAUAUGACAUGUGGCAUACAGACAAGUUUACUAGAUGGAUCUUUCAUCAUUUUGGAAAUACAAUAUUCCCUGUGAAACAAAUCACAGAAACAUUCUACAGUUUUAUUUUAUAUAAUAAAUACCAAUAAAUGUAAAUACAAAAUCACA